GCUUAGUGGCGGACGGGUGAGUAACGCGUGAGCAACCUGCCUUUCAGAGGGGGACAACGGUUGGAAACGACCGCUAAUACCGCAUGAUAUGACUGGACCGCAUGAUCCGGUCAUCAAAGAUUUUAUCGCUGAAAGAUGGGCUCGCGUCUGAUUAGAUAGUUGGUGGGGUAACGGCCCACCAAGUCGACGAUCAGUAGCCGGACUGAGAGGUUGAACGGCCACAUUGGGACUGAGAUACGGCCCAGACUCCUACGGGAGGCAGCAGUGGGGAAUAUUGGGCAAUGGGGGCAACCCUGACCCAGCAACGCCGCGUGAAGGAAGAAGGCUUUCGGGUUGUAAACUUCUUUUACCGAGGACGAAGAACGUGACGGUACUCGGAGAAAAAGCCACGGCUAACUACGUGCCAGCAGCCGCGGUAAUACGUAGGUGGCAAGCGUUGUCCGGAAUUACUGGGUGUAAAGGGCGUGUAGGCGGAGCGGCAAGUCAGAAGUGAAAUCUCUGGGCUCAACCCGGAAACUGCUUUUGAAACUGUCGCCCUUGAGUAUCGGAGAGGCAGGCGGAAUUCCUAGUGUAGCGGUGAAAUGCGUAGAUAUUAGGAGGAACACCAGUGGCGAAGCGGCCUGCUGGACGACAACUGACGCUGAGGCGCGAAAGCGUGGGGAGCAAACAGGAUUAGAUACCCUGGUAGUCCACGCCGUAAACGAUGGAUACUAGGUGUGGGGGGACUGACCCCCCUCCGUGCCGCAGUAAACACAAUAAGUAUCCCACCUGGGGAGUACGACCGCAAGGUUGAAACUCAAAGGAAUUGACGGGGGCCCGCACAAGCAGUGGAUUAUGUGGUUUAAUUCGACGCAACGCGAAGAACCUUACCGGGAUUUGACAUCCUGCUAACGAAGUAGAGAUACAUCAGGUGCCCUUCGGGGAAAGCAGAGACAGGUGGUGCAUGGUUGUCGUCAGCUCGUGUCGUGAGAUGUUGGGUUAAGUCCCGCAACGAGCGCAACCCUUAUUGUUAGUUGCUACGGAAGAGCACUCUAGCGAGACUGCCGUUGACAAAACGGAGGAAGGCGGGGACGACGUCAAAUCAUCAUGCCCCUUAUGUCCCGGGCUACACACGUAAUACAAUGGCGUUAAACAGAGGGAAGCAAAGCCGCGAGGCAGAGCAAAACCCUAAAAGGCGUCUCAGUUCGGAUCG
Molecule: ribosomal RNA, 1192 nt
Filed under: uncultured bacterium
Lineage: Bacteria
Description: bacterial SSU rRNA
Rfam family: Bacterial small subunit ribosomal RNA
Source: RNAcentral